Molecule: ribosomal RNA, 1228 nt
Filed under: metagenome
Description: SSU rRNA
Rfam family: Eukaryotic small subunit ribosomal RNA
Source: RNAcentral
UUAUCGGAAUGAGAACAAUUCAAAUCCUUUAACGAGGAUCUAGCGGAGGGCAAGUCUGGUGCCAGCAGCCGCGGUAAUUCCAGCUCCGCAGGUGUAUAUCUAUGCUGCUGCGGUUAAAAAGCUCGUAGUUGGAUCUGCGUGCUCGGAACUGGUUGGCUCACUGAGUUCAAACUGGUCUCCGGCGCUUUAUUGGCUGGUUUUCCCUUGAUGCUCUUAACCGGGUGUCUUGGGUGGCUAGCACGUUUACUUUGAAAAAAUUAGAGUGCUCAAUACAGGCGUAAAGCCUUGAAUCGUGGUGCAUGGAAUAAUAGAAUAGGACCUCGGCUCUAUUUUGUUGGUUUUCGGAACGCGAGGUAAUGAUUAAGAGGGACAGACGGGGGCAUUCGUAUUGCGACGUUAGAGGUGAAAUUCUUGGAUCGUCGCAAGACGGACGACUGCGAAAGCAUUUGCCAAGAAUGUUUUCAUUAAUCAAGAACGAAAGUUAGAGGUUCGAAGGCGAUCAGAUACCGCCCUAGUUCUAACCGUAAACGAUGCCAACUAGCGAUUCGCAGGCGUUAAACAACGACCUUGCGGGCAGCUUCCCGGAAACGAAAGUGUUCGGGUUCCGGGGGAAGUAUGGUUGCAAAGCUGAAACUUAAAGGAAUUGACGGAAGGGCACCACCAGGAGUGGAGCCUGCGGCUUAAUUUGACCCAACACGGGAAAACUCACCCGGCCCGGACACCGUAAGGAUUGACAGAUUGAGAGCUCUUUCUUGAUUCGGUGGGUGGUGGUGCAUGGCCGUUCUUAGUUGGUGGAGCGAUUUGUCUGGUUUAUUCCGAUAACGAACGAGACUCUGGCCUACUAAAUAGUGGGCGGAUUCUUUCUGUCCGCAACACUUCUUAGAGGGACAAGCGGUGUUCAGCCGCACGAGAUUGAGCAAUAACAGGUCUGUGAUGCCCUUAGAUGUCCGGGGCUGCACGCGCGCUACACUGAAGGAAUCAGCGUGCUUUCUGACCUUGCCCGAAAGGGCUGGGUAACCCGAUGAAAAUCCUUCGUGAUUGGGAUAGGGACUUGCAAUUAUUUCCCUUGAACGAGGAAUUCCCAGUAAGUGUGGGUCAUAAGCUCGCGUUGAUUACGUCCCUGCCCUUUGUACACACCGCCCGUCGCUGCCCGGAACUGAGCCGUUUCGAGAAGAACAGGGACCGUCGUUGAAGGGCCUUAACGGGCUUUUCUCUGAUAGAAACUGUU